RNAcentral lists this ribosomal RNA (253 nucleotides) under uncultured Lactobacillus sp. RNAcentral describes it as "partial 16S ribosomal RNA". It matches the Rfam family "Bacterial small subunit ribosomal RNA", at positions 524 to 776 of the family's 1533-position model. The record is from RNAcentral. Lineage: Bacteria; Bacillati; Bacillota; Bacilli; Lactobacillales; Lactobacillaceae.
UACGUAGGUGGCAAGCGUUGUCCGGAUUUAUUGGGCGUAAAGCGAGUGCAGGCGGUUCAAUAAGUCUGAUGUGAAAGCCUUCGGCUCAACCGGAGAAUUGCAUCAGAAACUGUUGAACUUGAGUGCAGAAGAGGAGAGUGGAACUCCAUGUGUAGCGGUGGAAUGCGUAGAUAUCACGAAGAACUCCGAUUGCGAAGGCAGCUUACCAGUCUGCGACUGACGCUCAGGCACGAAAGUGUGGGUAUCGAACAGG